UAGGAUCUAUGGUCACCUAUAUGAAUGGU
RNAcentral lists this non-coding RNA (29 nucleotides) under Rattus norvegicus (Norway rat). Lineage: Eukaryota; Metazoa; Chordata; Mammalia; Rodentia; Muridae. The record is from RNAcentral.